CUAUCCUACGGGAGGCAGCAGUGGGGAAUAUUGGGCAAUGGGCGCAAGCCUGACCCAGCAACGCCGCGUGAAGGAUGAAGGUUUUCGGAUUGUAAACUUCUGUCGCGAGGGACGAAGAAUGACGGUACCUCGUAAGAAAGCCCCGGCAAACUACGUGCCAGCAGCCGCGGUAAUACGUAGGGGGCAAGCGUUGUCCGGAAUGACUGGGCGUAAAGGGAGUGUAGGCGGCUUAAUAAGUUAGAUGUGAAAUCCCGCGGCUCAACCGCGGAACUGCAUCUAAAACUGUUGAGCUGGAGUGCAGGAGG
Molecule: ribosomal RNA, 305 nt
Filed under: uncultured bacterium
Lineage: Bacteria
Description: bacterial SSU rRNA
Rfam family: Bacterial small subunit ribosomal RNA
Source: RNAcentral